RNAcentral lists this ribosomal RNA (216 nucleotides) under Glomeromycotina sp. RNAcentral describes it as "partial small subunit ribosomal RNA". The stretch from base 40 to 216 matches the Rfam family "Eukaryotic small subunit ribosomal RNA", at positions 686 to 864 of the family's 1831-position model. Lineage: Eukaryota; Fungi; Glomeromycota. The record is from RNAcentral.
GGGUCAGUAGGCUGGUCGUGCCACCGGUACGUUCUGGUCUCACUGAUUCCUCCUUCCUGAAGAACCGUAAUGCCAUUAAUUUGGUGUUGCGGGGAAACAGGACUGUUACUUUGAAAAAAUUAGAGUGUUUAAAGCAAGCUAACGCUUGAAUACAUUAGCAUGGAAUAAUGAAAUAGGACGAUCGAUCCUAUUUUGUUGAUAUCUAGGAUUGACGUA